UACGUAGGGUGCAAGCGUUAAUCGGAAUUACUGGGCGUAAAGCGUGCGCAGGCGGUGAUGUAAGACAGAUGUGAAAUCCCCGGGCUCCAACCUGGGAACUGCAUUUGUGACUGCAUCGCUGGAGUAGGCGAGAGGGGGAUGGAAUUCCGCGUGUAGCAGUGAAAUGCGUAGAUAUGCGGAGGAACACCGAUGGCGAAGGCAAUCCCCUGGGCCUGUACUGACGCUCAUGCACGAAAGCGUGGGGAGC
This 247-nucleotide ribosomal RNA is filed under the name uncultured bacterium. RNAcentral describes it as "partial 16S ribosomal RNA". It matches the Rfam family "Bacterial small subunit ribosomal RNA", at positions 524 to 769 of the family's 1533-position model. The record is from RNAcentral.